Molecule: ribosomal RNA, 652 nt
Filed under: Bacillus thuringiensis
Lineage: Bacteria; Bacillati; Bacillota; Bacilli; Caryophanales; Bacillaceae
Description: bacterial SSU rRNA
Rfam family: Bacterial small subunit ribosomal RNA
Source: RNAcentral
AAGAGCUUGCUCUUAUGAAGUUAGCGGCGGACGGGUGAGUAACACGUGGGUAACCUGCCCAUAAGACUGGGAUAACUCCGGGAACCGGGGCUAAUACCGGAUAACAUUUUGAACUGCAUGGUUCGAAAUUGAAAGGCGGCUUCGGCUGUCACUUAUGGAUGGACCCGCGUCGCAUUAGCUAGUUGGUGAGGUAACGGCUCACCAAGGCAACGAUGCGUAGCCGACCUGAGAGGGUGAUCGGCCACACUGGGACUGAGACACGGCCCAGACUCCUACGGGAGGCAGCAGUAGGGAAUCUUCCGCAAUGGACGAAAGUCUGACGGAGCAACGCCGCGUGAGUGAUGAAGGCUUUCGGGUCGUAAAACUCUGUUGUUAGGGAAGAACAAGUGCUAGUUGAAUAAGCUGGCACCUUGACGGUACCUAACCAGAAAGCCACGGCUAACUACGUGCCAGCAGCCGCGGUAAUACGUAGGUGGCAAGCGUUAUCCGGAAUUAUUGGGCGUAAAGCGCGCGCAGGUGGUUUCUUAAGUCUGAUGUGAAAGCCCACGGCUCAACCGUGGAGGGUCAUUGGAAACUGGGAGACUUGAGUGCAGAAGAGGAAAGUGGAAUUCCAUGUGUAGCGGUGAAAUGCGUAGAGAUAUGGAGGAACACC